This 437-nucleotide ribosomal RNA is filed under the name uncultured bacterium. RNAcentral describes it as "partial 16S ribosomal RNA". It matches the Rfam family "Bacterial small subunit ribosomal RNA", at positions 29 to 507 of the family's 1533-position model. The record is from RNAcentral.
AGCGAACGCUGGCGGCAGGCUUAACACAUGCAAGUCGAGCGGGCAUCCUUGUGGUGUCAGCGGCAGACGGGUGAGUAACGCGUGGGAACGUGCCCUUCGGUUCGGAAUAACUCAGGGAAACUUGAGCUAAUACCGGAUACGUGCGAGAGCAGAAAGGUUUAUCUGCCGAAGGAUCGGCCCGCGUCUGAUUAGCUAGUUGGUGAGGUUAUGGCUCACCAAGGCGACGAUCAGUAGCUGGUCUGAGAGGAUGAUCAGCCACACUGGGACUGAGACACGGCCCAGACUCCUACGGGAGGCAGCAGUUGGGAAUAUUGGACAAUGGGGGCAACCCUGAUCCAGCCAUGCCGCGUGAGUGAUGACGGCCUUAGGGUUGUAAAGCUCUUUUCUCCGGGACGAUAAUGACGGUACCGGAGGAAUAAGCCCCGGCUAACUUCGUG